Molecule: long non-coding RNA, 671 nt
Organism: Myotis myotis
Lineage: Eukaryota; Metazoa; Chordata; Mammalia; Chiroptera; Vespertilionidae
Exons: 8
Source: RefSeq, a predicted model, not a curated record
UUAAUAGGUUUUGUCAAACAUCUGGUUUCUCCUUUAGCUGCUUAAUUUCUGAAUCAAUUUGUUCACGGUCUUUUAGUUCAGAGGUGGCAGCAAUUGAAUCAGACAAUCUCAGCAGGCAAGUGCUUGUUGCACUGUCGACGCUCCUUCCGUGGAUGUACUUUGUACAAGGCCAGCUCCAGAAUUUCCUGACCAAGUGCUGACUGAAGUCUGCAGCGUAUUCUUUAGCACGGGUCUGCUUGUCUGAGGAACGCAACGAGAUGCAUUGGAAACCUCAAAAACAAAGAGUAACCGUUCAGAGACUGGAGAAGCUGGAUGGCAGAAGGGUGAAGUUAAUGAGCUAGUUUUAGUUCAGUGAUGAUGCUGUCUCCUGCCUUGUGCUGUGCUGUUAGCUGACCUUUUAUCAAAACGGGCAUCAGACAGCGCUUGCUGCACUCUGAGCACUUCCUCCAUGAGAAAACAGGCUCAGAAAGUGUGCGGCUGCGGUAGAGAAGAGGAGGCACCCUUUUGGCAGCAGAAAAAGGCCCCUCCUGUCCCAGAGCCAGAAGGGCUCUGCAUUUGUUUGCUUUUGCUGCUGUGAUCACCACAACAUGUGUCAUGAAACAUCAGAAAAGUCUUAUCUUACCUGCUGGACAUCAGAAUCCGACCUGGGUCUCACUGAGCUAAGUCCAGGA